UGGAGAGAAUGCUUUUCUGUCGAGGUUAAA
RNAcentral lists this non-coding RNA (30 nucleotides) under Homo sapiens (human). Lineage: Eukaryota; Metazoa; Chordata; Mammalia; Primates; Hominidae. The record is from RNAcentral.